ACAGUGGUGGUCCACUGGUAGAAUUCCUGCCUUCCAUGCAGAAGACCCUGGUUCGAUUCUGGCCAAUGCA
This 70-nucleotide transfer RNA is filed under the name Loxodonta africana (African savanna elephant). It matches the Rfam family "tRNA". Rfam says of the family: Transfer RNA (tRNA) molecules are approximately 80 nucleotides in length. Their secondary structure includes four short double-helical elements and three loops (D, anti-codon, and T loops). Lineage: Eukaryota; Metazoa; Chordata; Mammalia; Proboscidea; Elephantidae. The record is from Rfam by way of RNAcentral.